UAGGGUAGGAGGAUAGGUGUACUCUGACAGCAUCCCGCCCACUCGGUCACUCAGGAGUAGUGAUGGCAGAGUGCACGGUUGUCAUAGCCCUACCCACUCGGUCUCACCAUCGUAUGUGAGAUGGCUAACUGGCAUCAGAGGUGACCAGGACAUGUCAUUGGCAUCAUAUGCAUAUUUGCAUUUAUUGCUUGUGUUUGCUGCACUUUGUUUACUACAUAUUGGAUGGAUGUAUAUGAUGACAUGCAUACAGGAACAUGUUAUUUUCGAUUUGACGACCUUGUUAUCCUGAUAGGAGGCCCUGGUGAGUACAGCUUCUCCCUUAUCUUCAGUUAUGCAUUGUUACAUUACUUCAGGAGGUUGAGGUCGUCAGAAGGUUCUAGUCGCUAGUCCCCCUCCAGAUCACAAGGAUUUUUCGUUUGGGUCUUUUGUUUUCUUAUUAUACUAUCUAGUCUAUCUUCAGACUUGUAUUGGUUUUGCACCAUGGAUUUUGUAUGGUCUUUUAUGUGUCGAUGGGUGUUAUUUGAUAUGUCUUGCUACGUGCCUGCUCGGACGAUAGAAGAGGUAAGUGUAGAGGUUGUUUUUGAUUCCGUAUUUGUGUUGAUAGCCAGAGGUUGUUUUAUAGUUAAAUUGCAUGGUUA
This is a long non-coding RNA of Zingiber officinale, 638 nucleotides long. RefSeq lists it as uncharacterized. The record is from RefSeq and is a predicted model, not a curated record. The transcript has 2 exons. NCBI's taxonomy places the organism in Eukaryota, Viridiplantae, Streptophyta, Magnoliopsida, Zingiberales, Zingiberaceae.